Phascolarctos cinereus (koala) is the source of this 1594-nucleotide non-coding RNA. NCBI's taxonomy places the organism in Eukaryota, Metazoa, Chordata, Mammalia, Diprotodontia, Phascolarctidae. The record is from RefSeq and is a predicted model, not a curated record.
UGUACAUAGUCAAUGGUCUAUCUUCUCCACUGGGCUGUGAGCUCCUUGAGAGCAGAGACUGAGUUGGUGUCUUAUUUUGUUGUUUUUAACCAUUGUAUCCAAUUAGCACCGGGGCCUGGCACAUAAAAGCUUCUCACUUCGCAGUGCAAUUAGCCCUGUGGAUUAUUUCCCCGUCAUUUUGAUGUCAGAAGCAGGAUGACAAUACUCAGCUGAGGACCCCACUGACGAAAGAUUAAGGUUAUUGUCCUUGCAGGCCCCUGGAGCCUUGCUGCAAAGCCUACCUAACUUGAGCACUCACUGCAUUUUCCUAUCUACAUGGAUGAAUUGGUUCUGGAAACUGCCUUCAGGUGACAUUCCUACUUUAAGACUUGGAUCAUAAAUUCAUACAAUCGUAGAACUCUAAGAGAUCUUAGAAAUCUUCCUUCCACCCACUAAAGAAGUCCCUGUACUUCAUCCCCAAAAAGAGGCCAUGCAGUGUCUGUCCGAAUAUCUCCAAUGUUAUCUAACGAGACAGCCCAUUCACAGACUGGGCAGCUGUGCCUGGAGCUUGCUGUCACAGAGUAAAAGUUGCCUCCCUGCAGUUUUCCCUGUUGUUCCUAGCUCGGACUUUUGGGGCCAAAUAGGGCCAGUCUAAUCUGUCUUCUCUAUGCUAGCCAUGUGAAUGCCUGAAGGCCCCAAUUACACUCCCCCGGUUGUUGCUCCUCUAACUGCACUGGUUUAGCCUUUGCUGUUUUUUUUUCAACAUGUGGUAGUGUCCCUGUGGACUUGCACGGUCAAAUUUGCCCUCAUUUCUGGAAUCCUCUCAAAUGCCCCAUAGCUUCACCAUGGACCAUGUCAAUGACUUGUGGGGAAGGCAGAGUAAAAGGAGAUGCCUCCCCUUCCACACAUGGACAGCUAAGUCAGCACUGAGCUGACUGUCAUCUACAAAAAGUCAGAAUUUCCUGGGUCUAUAAAGUCUUGUGACCUAAUUUUUCAUUCAAACAAAGUGACGCAUAAAGACCAAGAAAUAUGUUCACGGCCACAGGGACACCAGGGGUCGGGGAAGGAGCCAGCAAUUCGGAGCUUUAAGGCUUGGGUGACAGGUAGGGAGGAGCCCUUCCUAGACUGAGGCCCAACAAAGCAGCCCCAGGGGAAACCCAAUUCUACAGGCCAACUUCUGCCAGUCUCUUUGCUUGGAAACCGAACUCUCCCCCUAAAUCUCACAGACUUUUUCUAUUUGCAGGUGUCUAAGACUCAAGCAAAGAGGCCAAAGGCUCAGAGAGACAGCCUGACAAUUUGCCAGCAGGAGAAACAUUUGCCAGAACCUAGCAGGACGCUAUCCAACCUGAAUGGUCAAGGCAUCAGACACGGCCAAAAUCAAUAUACGUACAGCCUCUAGUUCUAAAGAAAAACAGUAACUCAGAGCAGUGAAGAGACCUUUCUCUGAAGAUCCAAGUUGCUUUAGGGAAUGUCCUUCACUCUGCCUAGGAGGCACAGUGACAAGUGUCCUCUCGAGUUUCCAGGCACAGAGGUAGAGGCUGGGCAGAUAAGGCCUGAGUCAGGGGGCUCAGGAGGUUCCAGGGGCAGGGGUUCGGCAGGAAAUGGGUCGGGCUUA